GGGCUCUUGAGCUGCUUCGUUGAUCGAGCCAACUCUCACUCUAUAGAGUGUACUUUCACUUCAAUAAACCUGCACUUUCGUUGCUUCCUUCCUUUGUUGCUUUGUGCAUUUUAUUAAAUCCUUUGUCCAACACGCCAAGAACCUGGACAACUCACAGUCACGACUUCCUAUCUGAUUACCUGGCACUUGUCCAGUCUUUCUGCAGUCAACAUCGCCCAGAUUCCAUGCAGAACCCUUUGCAGACUCCUGAGGAGGUACAGACAAGGAGUGUCCCUGUCCUCAUGGUGCUACAUGAAAAGGUACAGACAAGGAGUGUCCCUGUCCUCAUGGUGCUACAUGAAAAGGCAAGUGACCCAACAGGCAGCAUUGGAGAAAGUGCCUAACUGUGGAAAGGCCAGUGGGAGAGGCUCGGUGGAGGAGGAACUUGCUGGACUAGAGAGGUCAGGGAAAGCUUCUUGGAGGAAGUGAGGUAUGAGCUGGAAGUAGAAAUACCAGGAAGCCCAGGGCAGGCUUGGGAAUGGGCCAGGCAUGCUCAGGUCCCAGGGCAUAGAGUAACAAUCUGGCUGGAAGAAGGAAUGGAGGAACAAGCUGAUAGGAGGGUGAUUUCAUGUGGACUGGACCCCAUGUUCAGGAGGUGACCACAUAAGCCAGGAUGGGUGGAUAGAGUUAGCUAAUCCUGGAAGAAAUCAUGGAAUAAAAUUAAAUAUAUGCAUUGCUGGCUACAGAUCCAGUUCCUCCUUCCCGGGUCUCUGUGUCCACCCUUCUUGGGGGCCAUCCCACACCUCCCUGCUACUGCCACAACCUUUGCCCUUUCUAAGCAGGUGCUGGGUAGAGAAAGAGGUACAGUGGAACUUGCCAAAUGUCCUCGCCGUGCAACCUCUUGCAGAGGGCCAUGUGUGAUCUUCAGAUCCCAAGAUUUUCUUGAUAUUUAUAAAAGCACCUUUGCCUCCAUUCCCAAACUGAAUUCUCCAUCCCUGGGCUCCAUCUUGAAGGGAAAUGAUCACAGCUGUGGCGAUUGUGUGUCUCCUACUGGUGAGAGCUGGUAACUACAGCAUCUAAUUGGCCGUUUUCCAGACCUCUGCAGGGGAUCAGGACAGCAUAGUGUGUCCUCUGUCUUGAGAAGUUCGCAUCCAGCUCUGCCAUGGACCAGCCAUGCUCAUGGAUUGCCUCUCAUUUUGCUACGGACAGGAGACAGGAAAAUACUGGGUAGAAGAGGGCGGUUCCCGACAAAGGCCCCAACCUCAAGCCUGAAGACCCACGACCCUAAAUGAGGACAGCCAUUUCUGAUUUUGUGCCCAAAAAUUUGCCUUUUGGCCUGCCACACCCAACAUCUUGCCCCUAUAUAAACCCGAGACCUUAGCGGGCACACACACAAUCAGCCAAAUGUUGGGAUUAGCAGACCAGUGGACCAGCGGACCAGCAGACCAGUUAACGGUGGAACAACGCAGCAGAGAAAGAGAGAAGAGGAGGGAUGUCUGAAUGCCAAGGGGAAUUCGGCCGCGGGCAGUUAGAAAAGUCUGGCUGCUGGGCGGCCCGACUCUAGGGGAAGACCACCUUCCCACUCCAUCCCCUGUUCUGGCUCCCCAUCCAUCUCCCUGAGAGCCACCUCUACCACUCAAUAAAACCUUUCAUUCAUCCUUUGA
This 1643-nucleotide long non-coding RNA is filed under the name Homo sapiens (human). RNAcentral's name for it is "HSALNT0338094". Lineage: Eukaryota; Metazoa; Chordata; Mammalia; Primates; Hominidae. The record is from RNAcentral.